UCAAGCACAAUAAGGGCGUUUGGCGGAUGCCUUGGCACUGAGAGGCGAUGAAGGACGUGGCAGGCUGCGAUAAGCUUCGGGGAGUUGCCAGCACACUUUGAUCCGAAGAUUUCCGAAUGGGGAAACCCCAUCCAUCAGGAUGAUCGUCGACUGAAUCCAUAGGUCGACGAGGCGAACCCGGGGAACUGAAACAUCUCAGUACCCGGAGGAAAGGACAUCAACAGAGACUCCGCUAGUAGUGGCGAGCGAACGCGGACCAGGCCAGUGAUACGAUCGUAAGAACCGGAACACUCUGGAAAGGGUGGCCAAAGCGGGUGAUAGCCCCGUACGGGUAGAAAGCGGUUGUAUCCUCGAGUAGGGCGGGACACGUGUAAUCCUGUCUGAACAUGGGGGGAUCACCCUCCAAGCCUAAGUACUCCUCAGUGACCGAUAGUGAACAAGUACCGUGAGGGAAAGGUGAAAAGCACCCCGAUAAGGGGAGUGAAAAAGACCUGAAACCGAACGCCUACAAACAGUCGGAGGCCGCAAGGCUGACGGCGUACCUUUUGUAUAAUGGGUCAGCGACUUACUCUGUGCAGCAAGCUUAAGCCGAUAGGUGUAGGCGUAGCGAAAGCGAGUCUGAAUAGGGCGUCUAGUUGCACGGAGUAGACCCGAAACCGGGUGAUCUAGUCAUGGGCAGGUUGAAGGCGUGGUAACGCGCGCUGGAGGACCGAACCGGUUACCGUUGCAAAGGUAUCGGAUGACCUGUGAUUAGGGGUGAAAGGCCAACCAAACUCGGAAAUAGCUGGUUCUCCGCGAAAACUAUUUAGGUAGUGCGUCGUGUGAUUACCGUCGGGGGUAGAGCACUGGAUGGGCUAGGGGGAUCCAAAGUCUUACCAAACCUAACCAAACUCCGAAUACCGACGAGUACAGCGCGGCAGACAGACGGCGGGUGCUAAGGUCCGUCGUCGAGAGGGAAACAGCCCAGACCACCAGCUAAGGUCCCUAAGUCAUGGCUAAGUGGGAAAGGAUGUGGGAAGGCCAAAACAGCCAGGAGGUUGGCUUAGAAGCAGCCAUCCUUUAAAGAAAGCGUAAUAGCUCACUGGUCUAGAUAAGCCAGCCUGCGCCGAAGAUGUACCGGGGCUCAAGCCAUGCACCGAAGCUGUGGACUCGAAAGAGUGGUAGCGGAGCGUUCCGUAAGCCUGUGAAGGGAGACCCGUGAGGGCUCCUGGAGGUAUCGGAAGUGAGAAUGCUGACAUGAGUAGCGAUAAGAAGCGUGAGAGACGCUUCCGCCGUAAGUCCAAGGGUUCCUGCGCAAGGUCAAUCCGCGCAGGGUUAGCCGGCCCCUAAGGCGAGGGCGACAGCCGUAGCCGAUGGGAACCACGUGAAUAUUCGUGGGCCUGCUGGAAGUGACGGAUCCGAAAAGUGGCUCUAGCUCGUUGGCGAAUGCUAGGGCGGCCCAAGGGUUCCAGGAAAUAGCUCCAGCAUAUAGACCGUACCCUAAACCGACACAGGUGGACUGGUAGAGUAUACCAAGGCGCUUGAGGGAACGGUGUUGAAGGAACUAGGCAAUUUACCCCCGUAACUUCGGGAUAAGGGGGCCUCUGGCGGUCUCGCCAGAGGGGCACAGACUAGGGGGUGGCGACUGUUUAACAAAAACACAGGGCUCUGCUAAGCCGUGAGGCGAAGUAUAGGGUCUGACGCCUGCCCGGUGCCGGAAGGUUAAGAGGAGAGGUUCACGCCUUGAAUCGAAGCCCCGGUAAACGGCGGCCGUAACUAUAACGGUCCUAAGGUAGCGAAAUUCCUUGUCGGGUAAGUUCCGACCUGCACGAAUG
This 1814-nucleotide ribosomal RNA is filed under the name symbiont metagenome. RNAcentral's name for it is "bacterial LSU rRNA". It matches the Rfam family "Bacterial large subunit ribosomal RNA", at positions 1 to 1998 of the family's 2925-position model. The record is from RNAcentral.